AUAUUAAUUUGUAGCUCAGGGGAAAUACCAUCAUCACCAAGGGGGUUUCCCUGGGGUGAGGCUUAUCCAUUGCCCUUGGGCUGUGCUGACUCUUUUGAUUUCCCCAAAUGUGGGAAACUUGACAGCAUAGUUUGUGGUAGUCGGGGACUGCAUUCAUAUUUCCUCCAG
This is a small nuclear RNA of Gopherus agassizii (Agassiz's desert tortoise), 168 nucleotides long. Its record names the gene U1. It matches the Rfam family "U1 spliceosomal RNA". From Rfam's summary of the family: U1 is a small nuclear RNA (snRNA) component of the spliceosome (involved in pre-mRNA splicing). Its 5' end forms complementary base pairs with the 5' splice junction, thus defining the 5' donor site of an intron. There are significant differences in sequence and secondary structure between metazoan and yeast U1 snRNAs, the latter being much longer (568 nucleotides as compared to 164 nucleotides in human). Lineage: Eukaryota; Metazoa; Chordata; Testudines; Testudinidae. The record is from Ensembl.